UCACUGCUGAGGAGUUCCAAAAUAGGACGAAACGGCCGUCCAGUGC
Molecule: non-coding RNA, 46 nt
Organism: Schistosoma haematobium
Lineage: Eukaryota; Metazoa; Platyhelminthes; Trematoda; Strigeidida; Schistosomatidae
Source: Rfam